UUGAAUCAGAAAUCUGAAUCCUCUUUACUUGGUUAUUUUCUUACAAAUGUCGAAUACAGUCUUUUUUUUUAAAAAAUUCCGUUCUUCUACUUUAGGAGUUCUCGUAGUCAAACUUGUCUACAUUGCUCAUUAGCCGAGAGAAACAAACAUAAGCAUCCUCUCUUACAAGGUAAAAAUACUCUUGUCUUAGUUAUUCUAGUUUUUUUUUUAAUCAUAUAAACGGUUCUUGUUAGCUUAUAGAUAUGUUCUUCAUCUUUUUAACAUCUUUUAUGGAGUUGAACUUGGAAUUUAAAUUAAUGUUCUGUUUUAUAUACAUUGCUGUCUUGACUUCAUCUAUGAACUAUGACAUACACUGAUUUUUAGCUACAUAUGUGUCUUAAAUAAACUGAAAUUUUAUAUCUAGAUAUAUGUUCUUUUUGUUGCUGUUGAAAUUAAGCUAGAUAUAUUUAUGUUCUGUCUAGGAAAACAUAGAAUGAAGAUUUUAGUUUUUAUGUAAAACAUAGGAAGAAUGGGUUUUAAUUUUUGACUGAAAUGUUUGAUUUGUAUGUAAAUGCAUGUGCAACGGAAAAAACGAAAUACUGAUUUUGAUUAAUUAAUUUUGCAGAAGGUUGAAGAAGGGAAAACGAAGCCUUGGGACUAUAUCCAGUAUUUUCCAUUUUCUGCUGUGCCAGCCUUUGAAGUUGACAAGACUGUGCAAUAUUUUGUAUUUUCCUCUUUCUUUCCGGAUAAAGAUACAUGUAUGUAUGUAGAUGUGAAUGAUAAUGUUUAGGGUGUGAAUGUGUAGAUGUAUGAUAGGGUGUGAGUAUAUAGAUGUAUGUUUAGGGUGUGAAUGUAUAAAUAGAUGAAUGUUUAGGGUGCGAUGGUUUAGAUGUAUGUUAGGGUGUGAUAGUAUAGAUGUAUUAUUAGGGUGUGAUUGUAUAGAUGUAUAAAUAGGGGGAGAUUGUAUAGUUGUAUGUAUAGGUUGUAUAGAUGGGCGUGUGAGUGAGCAUAGCGCCCAAUGCGUGACUAGUGUAGUUCCUACAGCAACCUACAACAAAUCGCUAGACACACACAAGAAAAUAACAACCACUCUAAAAUAACAAAAACAAACAAACCUUGGAAUGACAGUCGCCCAAAUGACAGGUACCCGAAGCCCCUAUUUAAUGAAUUUGAACCUGACCCGAAAUCUUAGUUUAUUUUAAAUAACUAAACACGAAAAACGUGAAUCCGAAAUACUCGAAAUAAAACUUACACACACAACUAAAAGAAUAAAGAAAGUUUUUUAGUAACAAAAAUGGUAGUCGAAACAUUAAAUAAAUCUUAAAAGCACAAAAACAGCAAAAUAAGUCUAAAAACAGUAAACAAAUUUUUUAGUAACAAAAAAGGAAAACAAACGAAACACUAAAUAAAUCUUAAAUCGCAGCACAAAAACAGCAAAAUAAGUCGAAAAACAGUAAACAAAUUUUUUAGUAACAAAAAAGGAAAGAAACAAAAAUGUUAGUUUCGAAACACUAAAUAAAUCGAAAAACAGUAAAAUAAGUCGAAAAACAGUAAAUAAAUUUUUUAUCAAAGCCCCAAAAAAAGAAGGAGAAUAAACCAUUAAAUGACAAAAACACGAAAAUGUCAUUCGAAACACCUUAAAAUGCCAGUCGAAACACUAAAUAAAAACCACACUAAAAAAUAUUAUAAUGUUAGUCGAAACACUAAAUAAAACUUAAAACACAGCACAAAAGAAGCAAAAUAAGUCGAAAAGUAAACAAAGUUUUUACCAAAACCCCCCAAAAAAGAAGCAAAUAACUUAGUCGAAAAACAAAGCUUGAUUCAAGACAUUUCAUAAAUAUUGGAAUUAAAUAAAAUUCAAUAACAAAAUCUCAAAUUAUGGCAAUAUAUAACAAAAUUAUGUAAAAAAUGGUCGAAUCCCCAAUUUUGAAGAUGAUUAAGAGAAUUUUCCUAUUAGUAGUCCUGAAACUUGAAAAAAUUUGUAAGAAAGUGAAUGUCAAAAUGGAACGAUCACUAAGUAUAUAAAGAGUAAAGACUAACACAAUCGCAUGUCUUGAAUAAGCCAAAAAGUAAGAAAGUAAAUACAACAAAAAUCCAAACGAAAAACAUAUACUCCAGAUAUUACAAUAUAAAUCCAAAUGAAAACAUAUCGACUCCAAAUAUUACAACCGUUUAAUUUUUUAUUUUCUUUUAGGUUUCGAAUUGGUUGUCACUAAAUUCGUAAAAAGCAAUUCAUGAAUAUAUACUAUAAAUGAAAAAUAUAAAUUUCGUAAAUAAAAUUUCCACACAAAAGAAAAACUUGGUCGGUUUGAAAAUAUAUUCAUAUCAACUUGGUAAUCUAUUUCUG
RNAcentral lists this long non-coding RNA (2326 nucleotides) under Arabidopsis thaliana (thale cress). RNAcentral describes it as "long non-coding RNA (ATHA_LNC000343)". The record is from RNAcentral. Lineage: Eukaryota; Viridiplantae; Streptophyta; Magnoliopsida; Brassicales; Brassicaceae.